GGAGGGAUCAUUACACAAAUAUGAAGGCGGGCUGGAACCUCUCGGGGUUACAGCCUUGCUGAAUUAUUCACCCUUGUCUUUUGCGUACUUCUUGUUUCCUUGGUGGGUUCGCCCACCACUAGGACAAACAUAAACCUUUUGUAAUUGCAAUCAGCGUCAGUAACAAAUUAAUAAUUACAACUUUCAACAACGGAUCUCUUGGUUCUGGCAUCGAUGAAGAACGCAGCGAAAUGCGAUAAGUAGUGUGAAUUGCAGAAUUCAGUGAAUCAUCGAAUCUUUGAACGCACAUUGCGCCCUUUGGUAUUCCAAAGGGCAUGCCUGUUCGAGCGUCAUUUGUACCCUCAAGCUUUGCUUGGUGUUGGGCGUCUUGUCUCUAGCUUUGCUGGAGACUCGCCUUAAAGUAAUUGGCAGCCGGCCUACUGGUUUCGGAGCGCAGCACAAGUCGCACUCUCUAUCAGCAAAGGUCUAGCAUCCAUUAAGCCUUUUUUCAACUUUUGACCUCGGAUCAGGUAGGGAUACCCGCUGAACUUAAGCAUAUCAAUAAGCGGAGGAA
This 553-nucleotide ribosomal RNA is filed under the name uncultured Pleosporaceae. Its description in RNAcentral is "eukaryotic LSU rRNA". The stretch from base 179 to 332 matches the Rfam family "5.8S ribosomal RNA". The record is from RNAcentral. Lineage: Eukaryota; Fungi; Ascomycota; Dothideomycetes; Pleosporales; Pleosporaceae.